Molecule: long non-coding RNA, 1142 nt
Organism: Orcinus orca (killer whale)
Lineage: Eukaryota; Metazoa; Chordata; Mammalia; Artiodactyla; Delphinidae
Exons: 4
Source: RefSeq, a predicted model, not a curated record
CAUUAACGUAUUUUUCAGGACAAAUAACUAUUUUCUAAAAUGAAAAAAUUUAAGAGUGGUACCACUGUAUGUUUUCACAGUUCUCUUUAAUGGUUUACUGGGACUUCCCUGGUAGCGCAGUGGAUAAGACUCUGCUCUCCCAAUGCAGGGGGCCUGCGUUUGAUCCCUGGUCAGGGAACUAGAUCCCAUAUGCAUGCUGCAACUAAGGGUUUGCAUGCCACAACUAAGAGUUCACAUGCCGCAACUAAAAGUUCUCAUGCUACAACUAAGGAGCCCGCCCACUGCAACUAAGACCUGGUGCAACCAAAAUAAAUAAAUAUUUUUUAAAAAUGCUUCACUUAAGAGAAGACGGUUGGGUUCUCAUGUCUGCUUCUGCGUUCAAUCUGUUGAAGCCUCUGGAAAACUCCACUGUAGGUUUGCAAAAGGAAGAGGGUAAAUAAGGCAAGUAACACUUUCCAAUCUUGCAGAGUCUCUGAAAGAAUAGGUGUCUUAGAUCGUUCCUGAUGUGACCCCUGCACGGGCUCCUCAACCUGACGAAUGCCGCAGGAACCCAGCAAUCAGCCACAGGCCGAACACCAGGCCCAAGAGCUCAGUCCUGAGAGCUGUGAGCUGGAGCAGUGGGAACUAGGAGAGCGAGUGGGCCGAGAGCAGCUUCCUGGAAGACAUAUAAGAAACCUGGAAGCGAGGCAGCGUUCACCAUGAUGCAGUGAGGAGCCCAAGGCCCUGAGAGGUCAUAUGACUCACUCAAGGUCAUCCUGCCGUAGCAGAGAUGCGAUGAAGCCCUGCCUUUGGCUGAGGGAGUUCAAACGGACUUCCGCCCACGCCUGCUCCCCGCAUCGGCCUGUCAGAUGCCCACCUCAGAGGCCUGGUGGAGGCCGCGACCCCUGGAGGCUGGACCUUCCGAGGAGGCUCUGACCACCUUCACCAGGAAAGAAAGUUGAUGGGUGCCGUGAUGGAUGCGGUCCUGUCUUUAACUGAUUCCAUCCCGACAAUCACCUGAAGAGGAUCAGAGAGGUUUUAUAUCCAACCCCAUAUCACACAGCUACCGAGUGGUGAGACAGAUGUGAAACCCAUAUGUAUCCAUUUCUAGUUCUCAGCCUCUUUCUACAUCCUUAUGAAAACUCUUAAAUACGAAGUGCUAA